AUUGGACGCUGGCGGCAUGCCUUACACAUGCAAGUCGAACGGUAACAGGUCUUCGGAUGCUGACGAGUGGCGAACGGGUGAGUAAUACAUCGGAACGUGCCUAGUAGUGGGGGAUAACUACUCGAAAGAGUGGCUAAUACCGCAUGAGAUCUACGGAUGAAAGCAGGGGAUCGCAAGACCUUGUGCUACUAGAGCGGCCGAUGGCAGAUUAGGUAGUUGGUGGGAUAAAAGCUUACCAAGCCGACGAUCUGUAGCUGGUCUGAGAGGACGAUCAGCCACACUGGGACUGAGACACGGCCCAGACUCCUACGGGAGGCAGCAGUGGGGAAUUUUGGACAAUGGGCGCAAGCCUGAUCCAGCAAUGCCGCGUGCAGGAUGAAGGCCUUCGGGUUGUAAACUGCCUUUGUACGGAACGAAAAGCCCCGGGUUAAUACCCUGGGGUCAUGACGGUACCGUAAGAAUAAGCACCGGCUAACUACGUGCCAGCAGCCGCCGUAA
Molecule: ribosomal RNA, 498 nt
Filed under: uncultured bacterium
Lineage: Bacteria
Description: partial 16S ribosomal RNA
Rfam family: Bacterial small subunit ribosomal RNA
Source: RNAcentral